AGAAUAGUCAGUGCUCUUAAUGUCUGAGCCAUCUCUCCAGCCCUGGGAACAGGACUUUUAAAUGAUUUUUAUUAGCUGUCUUUGUAAAGCUGUAACCAUAAUCUGUAAGUUUUGAUUGGUUAGAUACAUAAGUAACAAUUUUGUUGUUGUUUAGGAAGAAGCUGUCCCCAAAACUUUGCUGGAAAACCUUUUAAAAUGUGUGCAGUGCUGCCCUAUCUUGAAAAGUGGCAUGUGACUUACACAGUUUACUCUCCAUGUGCUUCGUGCAAGUGCAUCAGCUUGCAUGGACCAGUCAAAUAAAAACACAGAUAUGAAAUCCUUUCUAACAUUUUGGUUUUGGUUUUAUGUUAUUCUUAUAAAAGUACCAGAAUAAUAUAUUUCUUUCUGGAAAUACAGAGUAAGGAAUCGUGUUUAAUUUAUUCUUAGCUCAGAAAAUAAUUUUGAUUAUAUUACUAAAUACCUAAAAUACAUUUUUAAAGAUUUAUUUAUAUAUUAUGUAUGCAGUGUUUUGUCAGAAAGGGACACCACGCCAGGUGUUGGUGGAGCACAACUUAUAUCCCAGCACUCGGGAGGCAGAGUCCGGCAGAUCUCUGUGAGUUCGAGGUCAGCCUGAUCUACAGAAUGAGUUCUAGGACAUUCCCCAAAGCCAUCAAGAACAGGCUGCUGUUAAGCAUGUCGUAUAUGGACUAGAUCUUGAUCAUAAACUCCAUGACACUGGCCUAUGAUAAAUGUAUAAGCAUAUUGCUUGCAGACAGUUACUGAAGAUAACCCAGAGAUCCUAAAGUAUUUGGAUGGCACAGCACUGCAUGUGCUGGAGUCUGCUUUGCUUUGUCCUGUUACCUCUAUGGAAUAUAUUCUGCUAAAGACACUGGUAGCAGGCAAGGUUUCUCUAUAGCUUUGGAGCCUGUCCUGGAACUCUGUAUCCCAAGUGCUCGGACUAAAG
This is a long non-coding RNA of Mesocricetus auratus (golden hamster), 943 nucleotides long. RefSeq lists it as uncharacterized. NCBI's taxonomy places the organism in Eukaryota, Metazoa, Chordata, Mammalia, Rodentia, Cricetidae. The record is from RefSeq and is a predicted model, not a curated record. The transcript is spliced from 3 exons.